CCUACGGGCGGCAGCAGUGAGGAAUAUUGGUCAAUGGACGAGAGUCUGAACCAGCCAAGUAGCGUGAAGGAUGACUGCCCUAUGGGUUGUAAACUUCUUUUAUAUGGGAAUAAAAUGUUCCACGUGUGGUGUUUUGUAUGUACCGUAUGAAUAAGGAUCGGCUAACUCCGUGCCAGCAGCCGCGGUAAUGCGGAGGAUCCGAGCGUUAUCCGGAUUUAUUGGGGGUAAAGGGAGCGUAGGUGGAUUGUUAAGUCAGUUGUGAAAGUUUGCGGCUCAACCGUAAAAUUGCAGUUGAAACUGGCAGUCGUGAGUACAGUAGAGGGGGGCGGAAUUCGGCGUGUAGCGGUGAAAGGCUUAGAUAUCACGAAGAACUCCGAUGGCGAAGGAAGCCCACUGGACUGCAACUGACACUGAUGCUCGAAAGUGUGGGUAUCAAACAGGAUUAGAUACCCGGGUAGUC
RNAcentral lists this ribosomal RNA (460 nucleotides) under uncultured bacterium. RNAcentral's name for it is "partial 16S ribosomal RNA". It matches the Rfam family "Bacterial small subunit ribosomal RNA", at positions 338 to 795 of the family's 1533-position model. The record is from RNAcentral.